Molecule: non-coding RNA, 1043 nt
Organism: Phascolarctos cinereus (koala)
Lineage: Eukaryota; Metazoa; Chordata; Mammalia; Diprotodontia; Phascolarctidae
Source: RefSeq, a predicted model, not a curated record
UGCUCCUUUAGCCUCUGAAAAUUAGACUGGUUUUAAUGUAUACAGCACAGGACUUGUUUUUAGGAAGACCUAGGUUCAAAUCUCACUUUAGACAGUAAUUGUGUUGUCCUGGGAUAAUCACUUGACUUUUGGGGGCUUCCAAAAUGAAGGUGUUAGACUUGAUACCAUCAAGGAUUCUUCCAGCUCUAAAUCUAUGAUCAUCUGGUAUGAGAGAUCCUGCCAAGAGCAAAACGUUCCUUGCUACCUAGUCCUGAAAGUCUUUGCUGAUUUCCCCAAAUAUUGGCCUCUUAUCUGGUUCCUGCUUCCAGCAGUGCAACAUCAGAUUGUACCUGCAAGAGAUAAGAGUGAACCAGUGGGAGCAGGAUGGCUUUGGACUGAUUUCUUAAGCCCCCAUAUCCAGAGAGUGCGGAUGCAUACCCCCUUCUAGCUCUCAAGCAAAAUACUGGCAUGUCACAUCCAGCCCUUAAGAUGACCUCAUCUGCAAGAAGAACAGCCACCAAGACAUUUCUAGCUGCUAAAUCACGGUGGACCAGCUAGAAGAAAAAAGAUGACAACAACAAAAACUCCCCAAUACCAAAUGAUCCAGGAGAUGACAUGUGAUGAGCUGAGCAAGGCUGAUUUACAAGAGGGAUAGAAAAGAAUAAAGAACAGUACCAGGGUACUGCAUGGGAACAGCAAAGGACAUAGAAAGGGGAAGGGGAGAGCACCAGAGGCAAACUUCACAUCUACUUCAUCACUUUACCUAGGCCCAAUUCCAAAAGCAACUCCGAAUCCAGGUUAUUUCUCACAGGCCCUUGCCUUUUGAGCCAUGCUACCUGAAGAUAUCUUGAAGGAACUGCGAGUGUUUAGGCUGGAGAAAAGAAAACUCAGAGAGGACAUGACACGCUGCCUACAAGCAUUUAAAGGGCUAUCUUGGAGAAGAGAUACUGGGCUUGGUUUGUUUCGUUGUCUGUCCCCAGAAGGGAGAAACUGGGAUAGUGGAAGCAAGUUGCAGUCAUAUUGGUAUGUGUGUGUGUGUGUGUGUGUGUGUAUACACAUACAUA